AAAAACAUACAAGACUCGAACCUGUAAUCUUUGUGGCCGAAACACAAUGCCUUACCAUUUGGCUAACGCGUA
RNAcentral lists this transfer RNA (72 nucleotides) under Sclerotinia sclerotiorum. RNAcentral's name for it is "tRNA-Arg". Lineage: Eukaryota; Fungi; Ascomycota; Leotiomycetes; Helotiales; Sclerotiniaceae. The record is from RNAcentral.